Molecule: ribosomal RNA, 912 nt
Filed under: uncultured archaeon
Lineage: Archaea
Description: bacterial SSU rRNA
Rfam family: Archaeal small subunit ribosomal RNA
Source: RNAcentral
UUCCGGUUGAUCCUGCCGGAGGUCACUGCUAUUGGAGUUCGAUUAAGCCAUGCGAGUCAAUUCUUCGGAACUCGGCGGACUGCUCAGUAACACGUGGGUAAUCUAACCUAGGGUCAGGGAUAACCCCGGGAAACUGGGGAUAAUACCUGAUAGGUGAAACGUUCUGGAACGAUGCUUCGCUUAAAGCCCCGGCGCCCUAGGAUGAGCCUGCGUCCGAUUAGGUUGUUGGCGGUGUAAAGGACCACCAAGCCUGUGAUCGGUACGGGUGGUGAGAGCCAUAGCCCGGAGAUGGGGGCUGAGACACGGCCCCAGGCCCUACGGGGCGCAGCAGGCGCGAAAACUACGCAAUGCGCGAAAGCGUGACGUGGGAACUCCAAGUGCCUUGCCUUAGGGAAGGCUUUUGUAUAGUGUAAGUAGCUAUACGAAUAAGUGCGGGGUAAGACCGGUGCCAGCCGCCGCGGUAACACCGGCCGCGCAAGUGGUGGCCGCUUUUAUUGGGCCUAAAGCGUUCGUAGCCUGUCCUGUAAGUCCUUGGGUAAAUCCUUCGGCUCAACCGAAGGAACUCCGGGGAUACUGCAGGACUUGGAGUUGAGAGAAGUCAGAGGUACCUCUGGGGUAGGGGUGAAAUCCUAUAAUCCUAGGGGGACCACCAGUGGCGAAGGCGUCUGACUAGAGCAAGCUCGACGGUGAGGAACGAAAGCCAGGGGCGCGAACGGGAUUAGAUACCCCGGUAGUCCUGGCCGUAAACGCUGCACGCUAGGUGUUACGUCCUCUACGAGGGGGCGUAGUGCCGAAGAGAAGUUGAUAAGCGUGCCGCCUGGGAAGUAUUACCGCAAAGUAGAAACUUAAAGGAAUUGGCGGGGGAGCACCACAAGGGGUGGAGUCUGCGGUUCAAUUGGAUUCAACGCCGGA